This 333-nucleotide ribosomal RNA is filed under the name Cotesia sp. HD-297. Its description in RNAcentral is "partial 28S ribosomal RNA". Lineage: Eukaryota; Metazoa; Arthropoda; Insecta; Hymenoptera; Braconidae. The record is from RNAcentral.
CGAAUGAGGAGAUUCAUCGUCAGCUUAUUCAGUAUUAAUGCAGGCUAUGAUGUGAUAAUAGAACCCUUGUGGUCACUAGAUUAUACUUGCUUGUAUUAUUUUUGCUGGGUAUGUCGGCGUGCACUUCUCCUCUAGUAGAACGUCGCAACCCGUUGGAUGUUUAUCUAUGGCUUGAAUGGUAGCCUUUGAUAUUUUUUAUAUUGAAGACCUUCGAUGUCCUGAUAAACUGUUUGACGGUAUACAUAUGGUAUUGAGCCGCAAUUAUUUGCGUUAGACUUGCCGCAAGUAUGACUUUAUUCUAGUAGUGCGGAUCUAAUGCCGUCGCUGGACAAA